GUUGUUGUGGUUCAGUGGUUAGGGCUUUAUGUUACAGUUUGAAAGAUUGUGUGUUCAAAUCCCAGGAGCACCA
Molecule: non-coding RNA, 73 nt
Organism: Pangasius djambal
Lineage: Eukaryota; Metazoa; Chordata; Actinopteri; Siluriformes; Pangasiidae
Source: the annotation of a GenBank genome assembly